GUGAAGAAGGACGUGGCUACCGGCGAAACGUUUCGGGGAGUUGGAAGUAAGCUUUGAUCCGAAAAUAUCCGAAUGAGGAAACUCAAUAACUUCUUACUGAAUCUAUAAGUAAAGAAAGAGCAAACCUAGGGAACUGAAACAUCUUAGUACCUAGAGGAAAAGAAAGUAAAAACGAUUCCCUGAGUAGUGGCGAACGAAACGGGAUGAGCCUAAACUUUUUUAAAUCGUAAGAUUUUGAAAAAGGGUUGUGGGAGGACAAAUAUGAAUUUUCGAAUUCAUAGUUGUAAGGAAAGUAAAGUUCAGAAAUUAGGUGAAAUAACUGGAAAGUUAUACCAAAGAAAGUGAUAGUCUUGUAACCAAAAAUUUUUUAACUCGAAAUGAAUCCCGAGUAGCAUGGGGCACGUGGAAUCCCGUGUGAAUCUGCGAGGACCACCUCGUAAGGCUAAAUAUUCCUGAAUGUCCGAUAGCGCAUAGUACCGCGAGGGAAAGGUGAAAAGAACCCCGGGAGGGGAGUGAAAUAGAACGUGAAAUUGCAAGCCCACAAACAGAAAGAGAACGACUUAGCGUUUAAUUUCGUGCCUGUUGAAGAAUGUUCCGGCGACUUAUAGUUAGUGGCAGGUUAAGAGAGAGAUCUCGGAGCCAGAGUGAAAGCGAGCUUGAAUAGAGCGUUCGUCACUAAUUAUAGACCCGAACCCGGUUGAUCUAACCAUGGCCAGGAUGAAACUUAGGUAAUACUAAGUGGAGGUCCGAACCGACUGAUGUUGAAAAAUCAGCGGAUGAGUUGUGGUUAGGGGUGAAAUGCCAAUCGAAACCGGAGCUAGCUGGUUCUCCCCGAAAUGUAUUUAGGUGCAGCGGUUAAUAUUAUAGCGUAGGGGUAAAGCACUGUUUCGGUGCGGGCUGGUAAUUCGGUACCAAAUCGAGGCAAACUCUGAAUACUACGUGCACAGUUAACCAGUAAGACUAUGGGGGAUAAGCUUCAUAGUCAAGAGGGAAACAGCCCAGAUCACCAGCUAAGGCCCCUAAAUAAUGACUAAGUGAUAAAGGAAGUGGAAAGGCUUAGACAACCAGGAGGUUUGCUUAGAAGCAGCAAUCCUUUAAAAAGUGCGUAAUAGCUUACUGGUCUAGCAAUUCUGCGCCGAAAACUUAUGGGACUAAGUCAUUUGCCGAAGCUGUGAGAUAGAAUCGACUUACGGUCAUUUCUAUCGGUAGGGGAGCGUUCUGUUGUAGGGUGAAGUAUUAGCGAAAGCGGGUAUGGACGAAACAGAAGUGAGAAUGUCGGAUUGAGUAGCGAAAACAUUGGUGAGAAUCCAAUGCUCCGAAAACCUAAGGUUUCCUCCGCAAGGCUCGUCCACGGAGGGUUAGUCAGGUCCUAAGAUGAGGCUGAGAAGCGUAGUCGAUGGAGAAUUGGUCAAUAUUCCAAUACUCGGCUCUAGCAGGUAUCGAGGGACGAAGAAGGCUAAACUAGCCAGAGAUUGGUUACUGGUUUAAGUACGUGAGGUGUUGAGGAUUAGAGAAAAUAAUCUGAGCUGAGCUACGAAUACAAGAUUUUAAAAAUCAAAGUAGUUGAUGUCAUACUUCCAAGAAAAGCUCGCAAUGCCUUAUGCUAGAAUCACCUGUACCAGAAACCGACACAGGUAGGUAGGUAGAGAAUACCAAGGAGCGCGGGAGAACCCUCCUUAAGGAACUCGGCAAAAUAGCUCUGUAACUUCGGAAGAAAGAGUGCCUUUUAGGCUGCAAUAUCAAGUUCCAAGCAACUGUUUAGCAAAAACACAGGUCUCCGCAAAGUGGUAACACGACGUAUGGGGGCUGACGCCUGCCCAGUGCUGGAAGGUUAAAGAAGUCGGUUAGCGCGAGCAAAGCUGGUAACUGAAGCCCCAGUGAACGGCGGCCGUAACUAUAACGGUCCUAAGGUAGCGAAAUUCCUUGUCAGGUAAGUUCUGACCCGCACGAAUGGCGUAAUGAUUUGGAAGCUGUCUCGAGGAGGGACUCGGUGAAAUAGAACUAGCUGUGAAGAUGCGGCUUACCUGCGCCUGGACAGUAAGACCCUAUGAAGCUUUACUGUAUCCUGAAAUUGGAUUUCGAUUUUAUUUGCGCAGAAUAGGUGGGAGACGGUGAGAUCUUUCUUUUGGGAAGGAUGGAGUCAUUAGUGAGAUACCACUCUGAUAAAAUUAAAAUUCUAACUUCAUACCGUAAGCCGGUUGAAAGACAGUUUCAGGUGGGCAGUUUGACUGGGGCGGUCGCCUCCCAAAAGGUAACGGAGGCGUACAAAGGUUUCCUCAGAUCGGUCAGAAAUCGAUCUUUGAGUGCAAAGGCAAAAGGGAGCUUAACUGUGAGACAAACAAGUCGAGCAGAGACGAAAGUCGGUCUUAGUGAUCUGACGAUGCUGUGUGGAAAGGUCGUCACUCAACGGAUAAAAGUUACUCUAGGGAUAACAGGCUGAUCUCCCCCAAGAGUUCCUAUCGACGGGGAGGUUUGGCACCUCAAUUGGGGGCAUAUAUGUAGUAAUACGAUAUGACAAUUUGGCUGUAUGCUGGAAACUCCGUUCAUUAAAUUGAUGUAGUAUCCUAAAGUACUCUUGAAUUUUUCAAAGUAAAAAUCUUUAGGUGCGGACAAUCAGCAGGGAAGUUUAGAAAGAUAUUUUUAUAACCCCUCAACGACUACACGCCGAACAACCAUUAGCGGUUGAUGAUAUAGUCUGAUCUUUUAGGCGACUAAAAGGAUUUAAAAAGGAGGGAUGAUAAGCUUUGCUUAAAUACUUUUUUAAAUCAUAAAUUCUUAUCCUCCAUGUAUAAUAAUGGAAUUAAUAAUUAAAAUAAUAAUUUUAUGAUAUUACUUCCUAGCUUUAAUCAAUUGCAAGUAGAUUUACUUGUUGGUACUUUAUUAGGAGAUGGAAAUCUUCAGAAUGUUGGUCAAAGUUGGAGAUACAGAGUAGUUCAAAAAACAGCACAUAUUGAUUAUGUAAAUUUCAAAUAUGGCAUUUUAAAAGAUUUUGUUAAUACUCCACCGAAAAUUCAACAGGUGAAAGAUAAAAAUGGAAAAGAAACUUCUCGAUGUGUAUUUAAUACACUCUCAAGUUCAAAUUUCGAUAUUUUUGCUAAUCUUUUUUAUAAAAAAAAUACAGAGAAUAAUGGGUGGACAAAACAAGUUCCAGAAAAUAUUUCAACGUAUUUAACUCCAACAGCGAUUGCAUUUUGGUACAUGGAUGAUGGAGCAUUAAAAUGGCAAGGGAAAUCAAAUGCUGUUAGGUUUUGUACCGAUUCUUUUUCACAUGAUGAAGUAAUUUUGCUACAAAACGCAUUGGCUAAGUUCAAUAUUGAAACUACUUUACAAAAGCAGCGUAAUACUGAACGUAUUUGUACAAAAGAGACUUCUUAUGAAGCUCUUGCAUCUGUCAUAACUCCCUAUUUAAUACCAUCAAUGUACUAUAAAUUUCCUGAUGGAAACAAAGGCAUUUUUCAUAGUGAACAGAUUGGUAGGGAACUUUAUGAUUUUGGUGACCCAAUUUUAAAUGUUGAAUCAGAUUCAACUAUUGAAGAUCCAGAUCUAAUGCCGAAUCUUUUAGAUUCGUUUUAUUAACAUUAUUGCGAUGUCGGCUCAUCGCAUCCUGGGGCGGAAGUACGUCCCAAGGGUUGGGCUGUUCGCCCAUUAAAGCGGUACGUGAGCUGGGUUCAGAACGUCGCGAGACAGUUCGGUCCAUAUCCGGCGUGGGCGUUAGAGUAUUGAGAGUGACCUUUCUCUAGUACGAGAGGACCGAGAAAGAUGUACCGCUGGUGUACCAGUUCUUGUGCCAACAGGAAAUGCUGGGUAGCUAAGUACCGUUAGGAUAACCGCUGAAAGCAUCU
This 3842-nucleotide ribosomal RNA is filed under the name Mallomonas acaroides. RNAcentral's name for it is "bacterial LSU rRNA". The stretch from base 1 to 2546 matches the Rfam family "Bacterial large subunit ribosomal RNA". Lineage: Eukaryota; Synurophyceae; Synurales; Mallomonadaceae. The record is from RNAcentral.